Molecule: long non-coding RNA, 10963 nt
Filed under: Salmo salar (Atlantic salmon)
Lineage: Eukaryota; Metazoa; Chordata; Actinopteri; Salmoniformes; Salmonidae
Description: lncRNA (ENSSSAG00000084445.1)
Source: RNAcentral
CCAAGGCAGGCAGGCAUCCUGUGGGCACACCACCAGGAACUGUACACUGUGGAAUACUGUAGCAUUAGGGCAAACGCACAAGGUGUCUGAAUAAUAAAACAAACGGUUGAGAGAGGUGUUUUCUGCAAAGACUGGUCUGGGAGAGAGGGGAGGGGACAGCUCGCGCUCUCUAAGGCUUUCUGGUGGGAACGAAAGGUUGAGCUUGAUGCCGGCGGAAAGUGCCCGCUGGGCCACUGCGCAGUCACAAGUGCUGAUCAAAGCCUCUGCUGCAGGCCGAAGGAACCUGGCAGUGACAGGCCGAAUCAAGGUACGGGUCUCGCCUUGACAAUGUUUGUAAACCUCUUGUUUCCACGAAUCAGUUUGAUCAGAGAUUUGCUGGGCCCGCGUGGCUGGUCUGAGCGGUGAUUAUUACAAUGCUGAUGAAUGGGGAUCGCGUUUCUUCUAAUAGUCGCCCCCUAUUUUCACAACCUCCCAUCGCUAACCCAAAAGCUCUUUGCCACGACCUCCACUAAUUGGACUGAUUAUUGCAAUAUGUUUUUGGGGAGGGCAGGGUGGCGGCGGGACGUGGCUUUUCCGUGGCCUACCCCGAGACAGGCCCGAAGUGGGUCGAUAAGUUACAUUCGUUCAGACAUGUCAUGUUGAGCAGACAGAGAGAACGAAUUAAAUCCAGGCGAUUGGUGUCUCUACUGUUUAAGGACAUAAGAAUGAGGGCCUAGGCAAUAAUUCAAUGUUUAUAUCUACCUUGUUACCCAAUAGGCCUACACAGGAAGGAUUAUUGGAAGGACUGAUGAGAUCUUGUCUUAAUGUACAGGCAGAAUAGGCGUUGGCCAAAAAGGUUCACGCAGUGGAUGAUAGGCUAUCACUAACACAGGUCUAGCUGGUUUUUAGAGCUGUUUUCAAAUUAGACCUAUACUAAGGAAUACGCCAUGUUAUUCUGUUCUCAUUAAGAAACAUAUCGAACUAUUGACACUAUGAGAAUAUAUGUAGCGCAAUGUUUUUCAGAUUUACAGAAUUACGCAUGCACUUUUUCUUGGUCAUUGGGCAUAAAUCUGAGAUCACAGAUGAGAUGUGCGCCCAAGGCAGGUGUGAGCGAACAAUGGAAGCAACAAGUGUCUUUCUUCAGCCUCUCCACCGGGGCUGGAGUGUGGGCCCUGGGCCGCUACUUAGACUGAUUCAUUCAAUCAUUUGAUUUGAUUCCUGCUUAUUUUCAGUGCUUGCUCGGUUACUUCACCAGUACACUGAGUCUAUUAUGCAUUUCCCCCCUCACAUGCUUAGCACGCACUAUACUUUGAAGUGGAGUGCUACUCCAAAUCUCCUGAUACUUCACGCUUGGCAACAUUUACUGUCCCAGGAGACCCAGGCUGCGCGUGACAUGUCAUGGACCUCUCUUGUCAGGGCGAUAGGCGACAUGUAGGCUUAAAGCGUGUGCAGUUUUGGAAACAAAUUUAGCCCCCUUAACUCUUGUGACAUACAAGGACAAAAUAUAGCCUAUGUUAUGGAUAAUUAAAUGUCUAAUGAUGUUAUAGCCUAUACCAGAGCCUCUGAAAGUGUGAUAUUAUUAUUAUUUGUAUUAUUUUAGGUCAGCGUCUGCGUAAAUUGCAUUUAAAAAUCCCUUUUCACAAACAACCCCAGUCUGAACCGCGUGCGUGACUGUUAUGCCUGGAAGAUGGCCUUUGAUGAGAGGAGAGCACCCGCGGUUUGCAUUUUUCCCUGCUGACCGGUCUACCUUUCCAAAAACAACAAUGCGUUAAGUUGUUUGAUAAGGAAACAAACUAUUGUCCACAAUGAUUCUCAUAAGGGCUAGGCUAGUCUAUAAAGUUUAUACUAACAAUAAGUACAAAUUUGGGUAAACAUAUAAACAAUUAAAAAAUAACCUUUAAGGGUAGACCUACUGUAACUUGCUAUAGGAACAAAGGGUCAGCUAUCAAUGAAUUACACACAUAUAUGAUUAUCAUGAAGAGGAAAAUGAAACACAUCCAUUAUUGUUGUUAUUUGGAUUGAUUGUUAUGCAAAAUUACUAAUUCAUUAGACAGUCCCUAGCAGUAGUACAUUCAAAUUGUAGCCUAUUCAAAUUUUGUUCUGCAGGUAGGACAGGUAUUGCAGGUAUUGCUAAUCACGUUCUGAUGACACUGUAGAAGGCACCACUGAGCCAGCAUGGCCCAUAGAGGGCACAUAAAACCUCAUGAUAACAGGCGCCAACAUUGUAAACUAUUUCUCAGGGGCCAAUGCAUCCAGUUCAAAGGCAGAUCAGCGAACUACAUGUUAAAAAAAAACGUACUUCAUUUACAUUUUAUUUUGGUCGUUCCUUGUGGCAAUAAACAUUGUGAUUUCAUUGUCAUCUUAUUUUGUCUAAUGACCUCUCACCCCCUUCAUGGCAUCCUUGUUAUUUUAGAUGUGAGACUAAGUCUAUAUACAGUAUAGAUUAUGAUUCUUGACACACAUGUUAACUUCCCUGACAUAUUGGUAAAUAUACAAAUGUUUAUAUUUCCACCUUUCAAGAAAAUAAACCAAACAAAUGUACAGUUUUUAGACUGAAAAUGUUUGCUCCAGACUGCUCCCACUUCAGACUGCUCCCACUUCAGACUGCUGCCACUUCAAACUGCUCCCACUCAGACUGCUCCCACUUCAGACUGCUCCCACUUCAGACUGCUCCCACUUCAGACUGCUCCCACUUAGACUGCUCCCACUUAGACUGCUCCCACUUAGACUGCUCCCACUUAGACUGCUCCCACUCAGACUGCUCCCACUCAGACUGCUCCCACUCAGACUGCUCCCACUCAGACUACUAGCACAGACUGCUCCCACUCAGACUGCUCCCACUUCAGACUUCUCCCACUUCAGACUGCUCCCACUCAGACUGCUGCCACUCAGACUGCUGCCACUCAGACUGCUGCCACUUCAGACUGCUCCCACUCAGACUGCUCCCACUUCAGACUGCUCCCACUUCAGACUGCUGCCACUUCAGACUGCUCCCACUUCAGACUGUUCCCACUCAGACUACUAGCACAGACUGCUCUCACUCAGACUGCUCUCACUCAGACUGCUCCCACUUCAGACUGCUCCCACUUCAGACUGCUCCCACUUCAGACUGCUCCCACUCAGACUGCUCCCACUUCAGACUGCUGCCACUCAGACUGCUCCCACUCAGACUGCUCCCACUCAGACUGCUCCCACUCAGACUACUAGCACAGACUGCUCUCACUCAGACUGCUCCCACUUCAGACUGCUCCCACUUCAGACUGCUCCCACUUCAGACUGCUCCCACUUCAGACUGCUCCCACUUCAGACUGCUCCCACUUCAGACUUCUCCCACUUCAGACUGCUGCCACUCAGACUGCUGCCACUCAGACUGCUCCCACUCAGACUACUAGCACAGACUGCUCCCACUCAGACUGCUCCCACUUCAGACUGCUCCCACUUCAGACUACUCCCACUUCAGACUGCUCCCACUCAGACUGCUCCCACUCAGACUGCUCCCACUCAGACUGCUGCCACUCAGACUGCUCCCACUCAGACUGCUCCCACUUCAGACUGCUCCCACUUAGACUGCUGCCACUCAGACUGCUGCCACUUAGACUGCUCCCACUUCAGACUGCUCCCACUCAGACUGCUCCCACUUCAGACUGCUGCCACUUAGACUGCUCCCACUCAGACUUGCUCCCACUCAGACUGCUCCCACUUCAGACUGCUGCCACUUAGACUGCUCCGAAUGUAGAGUUCCUGGGCUGGUGUGGUUCCACGUGGUCUGGGGUUGUGAGGUCAGUUGGAUGUACUGCCAAAGUCUCUAAAAUGGGGCAGCUUGUGGUAGAGAAAUUAACAUUCAAUUCUCUGGCAACAGCUCUUUUGGACAUUCCUGCAGUCAGCAUGCCAAUUGCACACUCCCUCAAAACUUGAGACAUCUGUUGCAUGGCUGUGUGACAAAAUUGCACAUUUUAGAGUGGCCAUUUAUUGUUCCCAGCACAAGGUGCACCUGUGUAAUGAUCAUGCUGUUUAAUCAGCUUCUUGAUAUGCCACACCUGUCAGGUGGAUGGAUAUUCUUGGCAAAGGAGAAAUGCUCACUAACAGGGAUGUAAACAAUUUUUUGCACAAAAUCUGAGAGCGAUAAGCUUUUUGUGCGUAUAGAACAUUUCUGGGAUCUUUUAUUUCAGCUAAUGAAAAAUGGGACCAACACUUUACAUAUUGCCUUUCUAUUUAUGCUCAGUAUAGAUUAAAUCACUGGGCAAUAAGGAAUGGGUUCUUUACAGUGCCUUCAUAAUAUCCUCUUCUUCCCCAUAUGGGUAUCGGUCAAGAUGGAUAGGUGUACCUGCUGAGUGGGACAGAAAAAGGCCUUUACCUGGGUGUCUAACAAGUAUUGUAGUAGGGUCAGCUAAGAGGGCUUCUACCCCAGAGGGCUUCUACCCCAGAGGGCUUCUACCCCAGAGGGCUUCUACUCCAGAGAGUUUCUACCCCAGAGGGCUUGUUACAAUCUGAUGCCAGCUUGUUGUGCUCUUUCCUCUCACAUAUGACUUCCUGUUCCAGUCUGGGAGGGUAUUGACUUCCUGUUCCAGUCUGGGAGGGUAUUGACUUCCUGUUCCAGUCUGGGAGGGUAUCUCUUUACAGAAGGCAGGUUGCUCUCUGGUUAAAUAAAUCUGUAUCAUCGCUUAAUGUUUUCCCCUUAUGCACGAACUGCAAAAAUCUCAGAAGCUGGAGACUCUUACCUCCCUCACUAGCUUUAAGCACCAGCUGUCAGAGCAGCUCACAGAUUACUGCACCUGUACAUAGCUCAUCUGUAAAUAGCCCAUCCAAUCUACCUCGUCCCCAUACUGUAUUUAUUUAUUUAUCUUGCUCCUUUGUACCCCAGUAUCUCAACAUGCACAUUCAUCUUCUGCACAUCCUACCAUUCCAGUGUUUAAUUAAUAUAUUGUAAUUACUUUGCCACCAUGGCCUAUUUAUUACCUUACCUCUCUUAUCCUACCUCAUUUGCACAUGCUGUAUAUAGAUUUUUCUACUGUAUUAUUGAUUGUAUGUUUGUUUAUUCCAUGUGUAACUCUGUGUUGUUGUAUGUGUCGAACUGCUUUGCUUUAUCUUGGCCAGGUCGCAUUUGUAAAUGAGAACUUGUUCUCAACUAGCCUACCUGGUUAAAUAAAAAAUGAAUAAAAAUAAAUUAAAAAAAUAAUGCAAGGUCCCCUUUAUAGCACAUGGUCUUUAUAUGCCCGGAAAGAUUUUAUUAACAUUGAUCAACAGUAAUUAGCUAUGUGCCUAAUUUGUAUCCAUUCCUGUCCUUGCAAUUUUACUGUGAUUUGGGGUUUCACUUGAAACUAGGAGUUCACGGGGUGUCACAAGCCAUAUGGCCAAUAAAUACUUCCAUGAUACAGUCAAUAGGCCUCCACUGGCACUGCACCAUAUAAGCACUCACUGCAGGACAUACUCUACAUGUUUUUGUCAUGCAGACCAUUAACCAACUGAACUUUACUCAUAAUCAUGCAAUGCUUUACUGUACUUUGAAGGACUGUUUUAUGUGUUUGCGUGCAGCAUUAAAUCAUGUUCGCCUUCUUCCAGUACAGUAAGUUCAUGAGUUCAAGACAACAGCAGUUAUUUCCUAGUUUUCUCCAUGUAGAGCAGAAUAGCAUACAUUAGAAUAACCAAUACAUUAUAACUUUAGAGUUUCUUACACCAAUCCAUCCAAUCCAUCUUACACCAAUCCAUCUUACACCAAUCCCUCCGUCUGACUAAUAUGUGUUUUUAGCAUCCAAAAUAAAUCUCUUUGUCUUUUUUUUUCAUAAUCAUAAUGAGUUCCUUCUCAAGCUCUCCGAUUGUCCAUCAAGCAUGUCAGUAUUUACAGUGGAGUGCCUUUAAUAAUGUAAUAUGAAACCACAUGUUGUAGAUAUUAGGCAAAACAUGUUUGCAUUGUAAAUGUACGUAUGCACACUUUUUUUAUAUGGAGUUGAAUUUUAUGAUUGCUUUUUAAUUCUGCCAGUCUGGCAAAUUAAACGCCUGCAAAAUUCAGGAAGUUAACAAUUACAAUCAAUUUGAGUGUGCAACCACAGCCAUACUGUCACGUCCUGACCAGUUAAGGGGUUAUUUGUUAUUGUAGUUUGGUCAUGACGUGGCAGGGGUGUGUUUGUUUAGAGUGUUUCGGGGUGUGUUGGGCAAUGUUCUGUUUUAAGAGGGGUGUUUGUUUAGAGUGUUUCGGGGUUUGUUGGGCUAUGUUCUGUUUUAAGAGGGGUGUUUGUUUAGAGUGUUUCGGGGUUUGUUGGGCUAUGUUCUGUUUUAAGAUGGGUGUUUGUUAAGAGUGUUUUCGGGGUUUGUUGGGUUAUGUUCUUGUUAGUCUAUUUCUGUGUUAGUUCUAGUAUGUCUAUUUCUAUGUGGUGUUUGUUGGGUUGACCUUCAAUUGGAAGCAGCUGCUCCUAGUUGCUUCUAAUUGAAGGUCCUAUUUAAGAGGGGUGUUUUUCUAUGGGAUUUUGUGGGUAGUUGUUCCUUGUUUAGUGUUUGUUGCACCUGACAGGACUGUUUCGUUUUGUUCUUUUUUGUAUACGUAUUUAGUUGUUUCGCCUUCUUCAAAAUAAAAAGAUGAGUAUACAUAUUCCUGUUGCGUUUUGGUCCAAUCCAUACGACAACCGACACAUACAGCAUUGAGGACUUACAGUGCCUUGCAAAAGUAUUCAUCCCCCUUGGCGUUUUUCCUAUUUUGUUGCAUUACAACUGGUAAUUUAAAUAGAUUUUUAUUUGGAUUUCAUGUAAUGGACAUACACAAAAUAGUCAAAUGGUAAAGUGAAAAAAAUAACUUGUUUAAAAAAAUUCAAAAGAAUUAAAUCGGAAAGUGGUGCGUGCAUAUGUAUUCAGCCCCUUUGCUGUGAAGCCCCUAAAUAAGAUCUGGUGCAACCAAUUACCUUCAGAAGUCACAUUAUUAGUUAAAUAAAGUCCAACUGUUGUCCAAUCUAAGUGUCACAUGAUCUGUCACAUGAAAUCAGUAAAUAUACACCUGUUCUGAAAGGCCCCAGAGUCUGCAACACCAAUAAGCAAGGGGCACCACCAAGCAAGCGGCACCAUGAAGACCAAGGAGCUCUCCAAACAAGUCUGGGAAAAAGUUGUGGAGAAGUACAGAUCAGGGUUGGGUUAUAAGAAAAUAUCAGAAACUUUGAAAAUCCAACGGAGCACCAUUAAAUCCAUUAUUAAAAAAUGGAAAGAAUAUGGCACCACAACAAACCUGCCAAGAGAGAGCCACCCACCAAAACUCACAGACCAGGCAAGGAGGUCGUUAAUCAGAGACGCAACAAAGAGACCAAAGAUAACCCUGAAGUAGCUGCAAAGCUCCACAGCGGAGAUUGGAGUAUCUGUCCAUAGGACCACUUUAAGUCGUACACUCCACAGAGCUGGGCUUUACAGAAGAGUGGCCAGAAAAAAGCCAUUGCUUAAAGAAUAAAAAUAAGCAAACGCAUUUGGUGUUCACCAAAAGGCAUGUGGGAGACUCCCCAAACAUAUGGAAUGUUUCUCACUUCUGCAGGUCAGUGUCACAUUCCGUCAUCAUUGAGGUGGAAUAGUGUGUUCGCUUGUGAACUUGAUGGUCAUUCUGCCUUUCAAUGUGGAUAAAAGUCACCUUGUUGGUGUGUGGUUAUGAUAUUCUUAUUUGAUAUUUCAAUAAUAUUGUUAUUAUAUUGUUAUUCUUCACGUUGGGUUAUUUAAACACUGUCAAUGAGCAGUAUGAAACGAUAAUUAAAUGUACAUUAGUUCAAGUUAAGUAAAUGAUACUGAUAUGUAGGCUAUGCUAACUUUUUCACAAUGAAUUCAUUUGGAUCAUUUGAAUUAUUGGUUUGGUAAAUACGCUUUUCAUCAUUCAGCAUUGUUCAUUUAAAACCAGACAAACCUGUCUUUAGCAAAUAGAUAAAUAUCUCAGCGGAAAGCCAUCAAGUAUUCAAAAAUAGGGACAUUUUAUGAGGCCCAAAUGAAACUGAUAUUGCGCUAUGACGAAUUCCUUGAUGAAAAUAACCCCCAUACAACUACUGAAUGUGCAACAACAUCAAACAGCACAGAAAUGUAGAAGGUGUAUCUGUUUCUAACGUUUUCAUGAGAUUGAUUAAUAGUUACGAUACUGCUUUUGUAACCAUUCUCUAGCUGUCUAUAGUCUACAGCAAAGCCACAUAUUUCAAUAUGUCUGUGGUCUACAGUAUAGUAUAUUGGCAUGUACAUACAUAUAGUGGGAGAGUAUAGGGUUUCUGUAGGAUGAGGCCUAGUGAAGACGUGCUUGUUUGCAUGCAGAGGAAAAGAUGGGCCUUUACGGGGAGAGGGGGAUUACUGUCAAUUGCUCACAGAUUGCAGUAAUGCCCAGAGCUCGGCCACCCACAUGCACGCAGAGACAAUUGCUACAUGUGUCCAUUCCACAUUGGCAACACGUGGCGCUUGCACGGGCAACACUAUCUUCAUUCUUUCUAAGCACUGCUGAGACUAAUAAUGAAAUAAGGGCCCUUCAUAUUGUCAUCUUAACUGUCAGGACCUGCUUCCAUCCAGCAGAUAAUAUUAAAUCACCAAGGAGAUGGGGAAGAGUUGACUCAUUUAAACCACAUGUACUUCCUGCUUUGGCUGGUGGAAAGGCACCGUGUUUAAAUUGUAUUGAAAACAAAUCUCACCUCAGUGAAGGAAUGGAGUGUGGGUGGACUACAGGUGUGGUAUCUGACUCUGACUCACGUGUGUGGCUCUUUAGCUCCAGUAGCGAGGACAGUAGAGGAGUCAACGCUUAGGCAUUAAAGCUGACUUUAAACCCUCAGGUCAGGGCACAUGAAAGACCUAAUCAUUGGGACUAAGAUCAGUCUGUCUGCACACCGUCUGCAGCUGGCACCGGAGGAGAGACAAGAUGGCAGGCUAUGUGUGUGUUUGCACACAUGUGCAUUAGUGUGUGUGUGUGAGUGCAUGCUUGUGUGAGAAAGACUGAGCCUCCAUGUGCAACAGAGCAUGUGUGCAAUAUACUGUACCAACCAACAGUAUAGAUAACCAAUUACCUUUCAACUCUAUUAGUAACGAGGCCUGUUGCCCCGAGAAAUCUGAGGAAGAAUGUGUUAACGGCUCUGUGUGAAGCUAUGGCUGGGAGGAGGAGGGGGGGAGGAUGUUGGGGAAAAGGUAAAGAACAGAAAAUAACACUCUAUAGAGUACAAAACCUUUGUCCAAAAAGUGGGGGAAUAUUUAUUAUGGCCAACUUCACUUAUGGCUUCCUGCAAGCGGCAGCCGGUGCUGUGUGCUCCACCUCGGGGAGCUGUGAGCAGGUUGGUUUGCAGGCCAGCCUCGACCCAUGCUGAGGAGGAAAGCCACCACAGUCAUAUUUACAUCAAGUACUGUAAUAUUAUCAAUAAAAGCCCGGAGCCAGGCACCUUGCUGUAACUCACUCCAGACAAGUGGCUGUGCAGCUGUUCUGGCUUCAUCCUCAGGGCAAGUGGGGGGGGGGGGGACAGGUGUCCCAGCCAAGCCAAGACUGCACAUGUCUCUGAUCCUGAGGUCAAUUGUGGCUUGUUGUCCUUUGUGUAAGAUUUGGCAACACGUCCAGGGAGUCUGAUAAGAUAAUAGGUGACAAGUGAAUUUGUGACUGGAGAAUUACAUUACAAGAUGAUUAGCCAAGUCCUGCUUUUUCAAGACAGCAACAGAGCACCAUUCGCCCAUUCUUACAAAACAAAACAUGAUACAUGUCCUUCGCUUUUUGGGAUAAAAUGAUGCAAAACAGCUACUAAUCUCAAUGAGGUAUCUGUCAUAUUCUUCUAAGUCAAGGGGUGUAUUUCAUUAGUUGAAAUUAUUGGAUAACUAACAGAGUGGCUUUAUUAACAUCAAAAGUAGAACACUAACAUGAUAUCGUAGUGAUGUUCAUCUCUGUCCUUGCUAGACGGUGUACUUGGCUUCCAGCAGCAGGCUAUCUGUAUGACCUCUUUACAUGACCUCAUCAGCCAGAGAUAACACUCCACCAGAGCUGGAGCAACAUGAAGAGCAUGUCUCACUGUGUCUCUAUUUGAACACACCACUGCGACCGUAACUCUGAAACAGAUCAUUUAAAAACAGAUCUAGGAAGUAAACACAAGGAUACAUGUACAUAAAUAUUCAGGGGCGCAACUUUGGUUUUAGAAGUGGGGGGUAUAACCUGGUGGGGGGUCUGAGGGUCCUCCUUCAGAAUGUUUUGGGCAUUUAAAGCUAAUUUCCAGAAUUUCUACACAAUCUAAUAUGACCUUUGGCCAUUCAAGCCAUCUCUAUUUAGAACAACAAAGUAAGCAAAAAUUCCUAGUCAUCAAGCUAGAUAUGAGAUCAUUAGUAAAUAUGUUUAAGUGAUUGAUAAGACUAAAUUAGAUCAAAGAUAAUUUUAUAAUCAAUAGUGUGUUGCACCUUUAACCAAUAGCCUAACAAAUUAACAACUUAAAGUUUGAAGACUUAACUUUUGAUAUUCUUUAAGACAACAUCUACUGUAUAUAUAAUUUCAGCCAGACCGCCCUGCCAGCCCAACCCCCACCAGUCUAGUCAAUAACUCAAUUCUCUUCCCAACAAUUUCCUUCCCAUCUUUUGUCUCAAGGAAAGGUUUGGAAAACAAAAGUUGAAUAAAAACACACAUCCACAUACACAUGAACACUCAGAAACAGGACAUCCUUCUUAUACAGUGAAGCCUUUUUCUUCUUAUCGCUCUAUACUUGACAACUUUGGAUUUGAAAUCAAACUAUGACUAUGAGGUUAAGGUGCAGACUGUCAGAUUGAAUGAGAAAGUUAAAGAAGCACAAAUAUCAUACCCCACCAUAAAAAUGCUAUCCUCCAUUGUCAUUGUAAUGGUGAGAGGAUAGCAUGUCUUCUCACUCAUCAUUAUACACGAUUCAUUUAGGAUUAUCCAUAGUCAUGGUAGCAUCCACAUUAAUGUAGAAGUGUUUAGAAACACAUGCUAUUCUUAUUUAUAAUAAAAGUGACUCCAAAAUGUCACAAUGCAUUAUUUACCAGUCAUUUCUAUUGGGCACAAAAUAAUCUGAAACAC